UACGUAGGGAGCAAGCGUUGUCCGGAAUGACUGGGCGUAAAGGGUACGUAGGUGGCUAUUCAAGUUGGUGGUGAAAUUCCGGGGCUCAACUCCGGCGCUACCGCCAAUACUGUUUAGCUUGAGUGCAGGAGGGGUAAGUGGAAUUCCUAGUGUAGCGGUGGAAUGCGUAGAUAUUAGGAGGAACACCAGUGGCGAAGGCGACUUACUGGACUGUAACUGACACUGAAGUACGAAAGCGUGGGGAGCAAACAGG
RNAcentral lists this unclassified non-coding RNA (253 nucleotides) under uncultured Eubacteriales bacterium. RNAcentral describes it as "contains 16S-23S intergenic spacer region". It matches the Rfam family "Bacterial small subunit ribosomal RNA", at positions 524 to 776 of the family's 1533-position model. The record is from RNAcentral. Lineage: Bacteria; Bacillati; Bacillota; Clostridia; Eubacteriales.